GGGGUGGUUUCAGUGGCUCAAUGGUAGAACAUUUGCUUGGCAAUCAGAAGGUCCCAGGUUCAAUCCCUGGCAUCUCCA
Molecule: transfer RNA, 78 nt
Filed under: Sphaerodactylus townsendi
Lineage: Eukaryota; Metazoa; Chordata; Lepidosauria; Squamata; Sphaerodactylidae
Description: tRNA-Ala
Rfam family: tRNA (bases 13-71)
About the family: Transfer RNA (tRNA) molecules are approximately 80 nucleotides in length.
Source: RNAcentral